This 62-nucleotide transfer RNA is filed under the name Brachycybe lecontii. Its description in RNAcentral is "tRNA-Tyr". The record is from RNAcentral. Lineage: Eukaryota; Metazoa; Arthropoda; Diplopoda; Playtdesmida; Andrognathidae.
GAUGAAAUGGCUGAGAAAAGUGAUAAAUUGUAAUUUUAUUAAUGAUUAAUAAUCUUUCAUUA